Populus nigra (black poplar) is the source of this 709-nucleotide long non-coding RNA. RefSeq lists it as uncharacterized. The transcript is spliced from 2 exons. NCBI's taxonomy places the organism in Eukaryota, Viridiplantae, Streptophyta, Magnoliopsida, Malpighiales, Salicaceae. The record is from RefSeq and is a predicted model, not a curated record.
GUAAACGGACGUAUAGCAAAUAAUCAUCAAAUGCCUCUCGCGUUCCACUCCCGUGACGUCCACAGAGAGCGCGUCACAGGGAGCCACGAAGAGCUAUCUACUCUCGCCGUUGAGAUCUAGUCAGUAGUCACUCUUUUAGCCUUCUCGCAUCAGAUCAGCUGAAAAGGGAAUUUCGGUGCAACUGUAUCUGCCCCGCGGCACCUUUGUGCCAGGAAGUCAUGGGAAGUUUCCUGCUUAACAAAUAGCUGAUGAGCAUGUCUGGCAUUUUUUUUACUAUUCCUACCAAUCCAGGCUAGAGAGUAGCAGUGUCAAUUUAGGGACUGCCUUUGUGAUUAGAACAGGGAACGGUGUCGAUUUAAGGAGGAAAAGAAAUAUGCAUGCUUGGCAAAGCUAUGACUAUUCAAAGUGAAAACCAGGAUAGGUCGAGAAGGUGUCCUUUUUUGUUUCCUUUCGUUGGCUUUGCCCGCUUGACUGCUAUGCAGUUUUGAGUUGUGUGCGAAUCAUUAAGUUGAAUGUUAGAUAACUUACUUUUGUCUAAACGAAAUGAAUCUCUAAUGCAUUUCAUUCUCGGCUGAUCUUAGUGAUGGGAAUUGUUCCAUGAUAACCAACUAGUACUGGGUAGUAGCAUUACUGUUGGGAUUUAAUUAAGAUUUGGCAAUUUUAAUGUGCGCAGUGAUUAAAUGAAGAAGUAUGCAUGGCUUUUUGAUUC